AGGAGAACCAUGCCCUGAGGGAGGGGAGCCAUGCACGAGCAGCUUCGGGUGACAGCGGCUCGCUUCAAGAGCAGGUGAAGCUAUUUGGGACAACGCUGAAGAUGUUUGCUCGCACUGGGCAAUCAGGUGCAGAUCAGACCCUAGUGCUGCGACGUCUUGGAGAGUUUGGCGAUGUUGUGCGUAGCAUGGAAAACAAAAUGGACACUAUGCUGCAACAUUUCAGUGCCAAUGUGUCUGUUUGAGAGCUAUCCCUGCCAGGGGAUGUUACUCCCCCUAGACACCCAGGAAGAUUUGGUGUUUCUUGACAGCAUUUUGAGGGAGGAUAAAGAGCUCCAGGAACGAUUUGUAAGUGUGUUGUUUUCGUUUAUAAGGCCGUAGGGUAAUCUAAAAAGUCAAAUUAAGUUUGUACACUGUAUAUUCUACAGUCUAAAUCCACAGCCUGUCACAUUUUAUAUUUAUGUAUACUCUUUUUGUAAAUGCCUUUUGUAAAUGCUCCUCUCAACUUUGAAAGUCUCACAGUAUCCCCAACCCGGAACUUGUAGCUUUAAUUACCAUUUCUCAUUAUUGUUGUACCAUACAAGUUCUUGCGAACUAAUCUAAUAUUUUCUUCACAAACGUCAGCAGGCUUCAUCUUAAUAGACCGAUGGUAGCUAUAGUUGUAUCCAUGAACUGAAUCUUGAAUAGCCUCAACAUAGCGAUGAGUGCUGGCAGCUGUGCGAUACCUCCACAUUUGUGAUUUAAUUGUUUUAUUAAAUCUC
Esox lucius (northern pike) is the source of this 758-nucleotide long non-coding RNA. RefSeq lists it as uncharacterized. The transcript has 3 exons. Lineage: Eukaryota; Metazoa; Chordata; Actinopteri; Esociformes; Esocidae. The record is from RefSeq and is a predicted model, not a curated record.